Molecule: ribosomal RNA, 274 nt
Filed under: uncultured bacterium
Lineage: Bacteria
Description: partial 16S ribosomal RNA
Rfam family: Bacterial small subunit ribosomal RNA
Source: RNAcentral
AUACGGAGGGUGCAAGCGUUAUCCGGAAUCAUUGGGUUUAAAGGGUCCGCAGGCGGAUUAAUAAGUCAGUGGUGAAAUCCUCUCGCUCAACGAGAGAACUGCCAUUGAAACUGUUAGUCUUGAAUUCGGUCGAAGUAGGCGGAAUGUGUCAUGUAGCGGUGAAGUGCAUAGAUAUGACACAGAACACCGAUAGCGAAGGCAGCUUACUAGACCUGGAUUGACGCUCAUGGACGAAAGCGUGGGGAGCGAACAGGAUUAGAAACCCUAGUAGUCC